This 116-nucleotide transfer RNA is filed under the name Massilia rubra. RNAcentral's name for it is "tRNA-OTHER". The record is from RNAcentral. Lineage: Bacteria; Pseudomonadati; Pseudomonadota; Betaproteobacteria; Burkholderiales; Oxalobacteraceae.
GGCGAAUGCUUUGGCUGAGUCCGGCCUAAGGUUGGCGCAGAUAAGCCCCAAGAGCGCGUUCUGCAAACGCCAUGCUCCAUGAGGUACAUGGGUUCGAAUCCCAUAGGCAGCCGCCA